Molecule: small nucleolar RNA, 84 nt
Organism: Poecile atricapillus (Black-capped chickadee)
Lineage: Eukaryota; Metazoa; Chordata; Aves; Passeriformes; Paridae
Product: small nucleolar RNA SNORD45
Exons: 1
Source: RefSeq, a predicted model, not a curated record
GGCCCGGGAUGAGCACUGGCAUGUAUUAUCUGAGCAGAGCUGAUGUCUCUGAACACUUUAGCUCUAGAAUUACUCUGAGGCCCG